AAUUAACGCUGGCGGCAUGCCUAACACAUGCAAGUCGAGCGAGAAACCGCCCUUCGGGGUGGGAGUACAGCGGCGCACGGGUGAGUAACGCGUGGGUAAUCUGCCUCUAUCUGGGGGAUAACACAUCGAAAGGUGUGCUAAUACCGCAUAAACCGGCGAAUCUGCGGAUAAGUCGGCAAAGGUGGCCUCUUCUUGAAAGCUGCCGGAUGGAGAUGAGCCCGCGUCCCAUUAGCUUGUUGGUAGGGUAACGGCCUACCAAGGCGACGAUGGGUAGCUGGUCUGAGAGGACGGCCAGCCACACUGGAACUGGAACACGGUCCAGACUCCUACGGGAGGCAG
Molecule: ribosomal RNA, 339 nt
Filed under: uncultured Pseudomonadota bacterium
Lineage: Bacteria; Pseudomonadati; Pseudomonadota
Description: bacterial SSU rRNA
Rfam family: Bacterial small subunit ribosomal RNA
Source: RNAcentral